UACGUAGGUGGCAAGCGUUGUCCGGAUUUACUGGGCGUAAAGAGCGCGCAGGCGGUCGUUCAAGUCGCGUGUGAAAGCCCCCGGCUCAACUGGGGAGGGUCACGCGAUACUGAUCGACUCGAAGGCAGGAGAGGGUAGUGGAAUUCCCGGUGUAGUGGUGAAAUGCGUAGAUAUCGGGAGGAACACCGGUGGCGAAGGCGGGAUCCUGGGCCAGUACUGACGCUGAGGAGCGAAAGCGUGGGGAGCAAACAGG
Molecule: ribosomal RNA, 253 nt
Filed under: uncultured bacterium
Lineage: Bacteria
Description: partial 16S ribosomal RNA
Rfam family: Bacterial small subunit ribosomal RNA
Source: RNAcentral